UCGCCCAAUACCGUUUAAAAUCGCUAAAAGCGUUUCGACGUCGCAACGCCGUGCAAUUCAAUUUGACAGCUCUUCCACCUAACAAAUCAGCUGCGUCGAUCCAUCAGCUGUUCAAUCAAAACAAGUUCUGAGUCGAAUCCACAGCUCAACAACUAUGAACUAUCUCAGGAAUUUAGACUGACCAAACGACACCAUGUGGAAGGCGUCUUGAGGCGCAAAAACCGGAAUUAGGAUGAACGGUUCCGAUCGGCACUGGAAAAGGAACAGCGGAGAUCAUAUUAUCAAAUUGCAGAAUCGGUCAGAACUGGGUGGAAAACUGCCAAAAAAAGGAUUACCAAGCAAAUCGAAAGAGCCCUCAGACGAGUACCGCAGGAUUUGGAGUAGCUACCAGCGGUUACCAGUAAACCGGUUUUACGAACAUCUCUGGACAUCCCCAUUUUCGGAGGAUUCGGUGCUCAGAUUCAAACCGACAGCCUGAGGACCCAAGUAACCACAAGCAUUAUAUCAUUGCACGAAUUAGACUGAAUAUCAACCUUUGCAAUGUGAAAUGCAGUAAUUCCACACUUGUCAUGCAAUAAUCCUUUAGAUGGGCAUUAUCAAUGUAAUGAUGCAUUACAUUUUUCUUUACAUUAUGGUAUAUUCAAAGCUGAUAUACGAUAAUUCAAUAAUUCAACACUGCAUAAACUGAAUAAAUGCAAUGUACAAACUUGCAAAGGUUGCUCUAAUAAUACAAUUGUAACAGCUUGACUCCAAUGGUAAACAAAUGUAUUCAAGAAGAGUGAACAACUUUACUCUAGCGGUCAUCAACACUUCUGGUUCGACUCCUGACCAACUUAAUCCCCGUUUGAACCACCGAUCGACGAUUUUUUUUUUCAUAAAAACCUUUUUAAAGAUUACCUUUUCUCUUUUCUGUUGGCUGCUAUCACAAGCCAAUAAUUAUGGAAACCACAACUAGCAUGUGAGCAGUGUGCGAAGGGUGUUUUAAAUUUCUUAUAUUGAUUGAAUGUAUUCUGAAAUGCAUUAUGUACUUAUCAGUGAUUAUGAGAAUGUGAUUCCAGGGAUUCUAUUACAUAUGACAUAGUCGUUUUGCCCUCUACUGCAAUGAUUGAGACAGAAGAACAGUCUCUUUUUAGUUAAUGAAAUAUCUGUUGUUAUCACUGCAGCAGAAACGGACCAAGGCGCCAGCGCAUAUGGAACUCAUCUAGCGGUCUUCAACAAUUCUGGUUCGACUCCCGACCCGGCGACAAAAAAAAAACAAUGGUUAAAACAUUCAUGUGUGGGGGAAUUAGUACCGUCGAUAAAGAAGCGGUGCUAAAAAUAGCUUUUUAUUUUGAUUUUUCGUGUUGCACGUAUUUAGCAUGUGUAAAUGCAAAUGUACAGCACAUGCAUUUAAGUUACUUUAGCAAUGGCUGUCAACGUGCUGCAAUAUGUGGUAUUAAUUUGAUUGUAGUGGGGCCCUUUUCGACUUUAAUAUUGCUUCAAUGAGGUGUUUAAAGUAAUGCAGCAUUAUAUUCACAAUUUUAAAUAUGAAUAUACAGCAAAAUUGAUGCACUUAUAUACGGCUUCGUGGUUACUUGGGUUGCUCUCGGAAACUGCCAUUACCUCGGCCAUUACGCAAUGAUGAGAGCGCUGAAGGUGUGUCAGUUUUUUCUACAAAAUUGCUUCGUCGAAUGUGUCUAAACAGUACAGGUGUGAAUUUCAGAUAAAUAAGAACUAAAUAAAAAUAGCAUGCUUUGUUAGAUAAAUCUAUUUUUUUCUGUUAGCUUUCUUAAAAAAAAAAACAAGGUGUAAAAUAAG
This is a long non-coding RNA of Aedes albopictus (Asian tiger mosquito), 1797 nucleotides long. RefSeq lists it as uncharacterized. The record is from RefSeq and is a predicted model, not a curated record. The transcript has 3 exons. NCBI's taxonomy places the organism in Eukaryota, Metazoa, Arthropoda, Insecta, Diptera, Culicidae.